RNAcentral lists this unclassified non-coding RNA (9279 nucleotides) under Homarus americanus (American lobster). RNAcentral describes it as "uncharacterized LOC121876248, transcript variant X1". The record is from RNAcentral. Lineage: Eukaryota; Metazoa; Arthropoda; Malacostraca; Decapoda; Nephropidae.
AGAAAGAGUGGAUGUACACUCCAGUGAACAUGGGAAAAUAUGUGAUGAAUAAGGAAUAUAGGUGGGGGGGGGGGAGUAAGCAGUUUCUCUAGUUACAGGGUAGACUUCAGUGACUGGAAGUUACGGCAUCAAAUUCCAGAGCCCGAAACCAACAUUUUAGUUACGCUGAAGAUGCAUACAUCUAAUAUCUCUACCCAUAGUGCAAGUGAACAUCAGUGUUUAAAGUGUAUGAGUGUAGAUUAUAGUUUUGUUGGACCCUUUUUUCCUUAUUCAUUUCAAUAAACUCAUCACUAAUGCCUGUGUUGCUUGAAAAUCUUCUUAUUGAUAAAUGUUGAGUGAUACAAAGUUUCAUAUUUUAAGUAUUAUAGUGACAUGGAUAUUUCUCUUAAUGUGGUCUUUUCUUCCUGUUAAUUGGUAACAAUAUUUGUUCUAACUAUAUAUCACAAUAACAUACUUCAUUGUUAGUCUUUGGAAUGUUGGAAUGGUACAUACUGUACUCCUAACUUGUAAUAGUGGAUUAGUUUAAUAGCUGGAACAUAUUUGCUGUCUUAAAUUAUUGAUUUGCUGAGUGGGUUGCACUGCUGUAUGCACAAUUUAGAAAGAAGAUGGUGGAUAGUUAUCUAACUGGGUUAUGCAUUACACAACUACUACUGCUGUAAAGUGUCUGCUUAUGUGGGAAUGCUAGGUUUGGCAGUUGUUCUUGAAUGCAGUACAGGGUAUCUGGUUUCUGAUACCUGUAGUGGUAAAAUUUAGUGCUUGACUUCAUUUAAAAUUACUGAUUAUAUUUUGUCUGUCAAAAGUUUACAUUCGAAUGCUAACAGUGGAAUGGUUUUUGUAGCUUUUGUAUUUCUGCUGAACAUUGAAUGUCCAACACACGCUAGGGUUCCAGUACAAAGUGUACAGUACAGUAUAGGAAUAUGCUAUGACUUGUGUAUUAACCAGUUGGUUAGCUUUGCCCCUCACCUCUGCCUGUCUCUGUGAUAUAUGAAUGUGUGUAUAUUUUGCAAUGCACAGUAUAAUCAUAUUCUGUUUGGGGAAUGGUGAAAUUCUAACUAGCUAUGAUAGUGUGCAUUUCCAUGUGAUCUUCACUCUCCCUUGUUCAAUUUGUACAAGUGUUGAUAAAUGAGUGGCUUGUAUGCUGUGCUUGUUAACUGUUCUUGUGUGAAUUUUGCCAAUAAUCUCUACUAGAAUAUUAUUUACUCGAACAUGUUUGCAGUAAAAUAUGCUUUAAACUUGACAAAAUGUAUUUGUUACUACAAUUCUUUAACAAACCAUGUGUUAUGAUACACAGUUCUGUUGCUUAUAUAUGUAUAGUGUGUAUGUGAUGUUUUUGUAUGAACUUUUACAUCCUGUAAUCUUGGCUGAAUUGAGUGAAAUAUUGAUAUACUGAUUAUGUAAAUGAGAUAUACUAUCCUUAGAUUAAGAUGCAUCUUGUAAACUUGGAGGAACUGGAACCUUGCAUUAAUGUGUUUGGAUUCAUUAUCUGGGCUCAUUAAUUCAAGUGUCGGUCACUCUCUUAUAAACCUAAUUGGAUUAUAAGGAGAGUGGGAAAGAGGGUGGGACCUUUCCUCCAAGUAAAAUUUUUUUUUUGUUAUAUUCAAAUAAUGUAGAAUGCCAUGAGUGUGUAAUGCUGAUUUUGAAGAUGGAUCCAAAGCCAAAGAACAACCCUAAGAAGGAACAUGAGACCAGAAGUUUAGUCAGCAUUUUCGAGAAUGGUUCCUGGGAGCUAAAUUUAUGCAGUACCAGAAGUCAACUAGGAAAUAGGGCACUUGAUUCAUCUGGGGCUGUGAUAGGACUUGGUGGAAAUAUCAGAUACUGCAGUGCUUUGAAGAUUGGAUAUCUCUUCAUCUUCAUCUCUCGUGGAAGGAGUUCGGGUGUUGCCUACGAUUGUAUUUUAACUUAAGGUUUGGUUGCUGCUCAGUGGAGACCCUGCUGAGUAUCCUGGAGUCUUUAAAAACAGUCGUUGUAGUCAUGAAGGCGUAGUUGCAGGCUGCCCUGUUAAGUCGUGUUGAUGGAUACUGUAAUGGGAGAUGAGUGCAGUUGAAGGUAGCAGUGGGACCUAUGUGCAGCAUCAAAGACAGCACUGUCCUGAGUAUGAUUGAAGGCGACACUGGGGCAUGUGGUCGUGACGGAUGGCAGUGCUGGGAUGUGCGGUUGUGACUGAUGGCAGCGCUAGGACGUGGUAAUGACCGAUGGCACCGCCGGGACGUGGUUAUGACCGAUGGCACCGCUGGGACGUGGUUAUGACCGAGGGCACCGCUGGGACGUGGUUAUGACCGAGGGCACCGCUGGGACGUGGUUAUGACCGAUGGCACCGCUGGGACGUGGUUAUGACCGAUGGCAUCGUUGGGACGUGCGGUUGUGACUAAUGGUAGCACUGGGACGUGAAGUUGUGACUGGUGGUGGACGUGCGAGAAUAGUCGGAUGUAGCGCUAAGACUGGUUAGUGCUGAGCAGCAGGACUGGGACGUAAAUGGGUCGGCGACCGGGCUGGGAAGUGGGACGUAGAAGUGGGUCAGACGUAGAAGUGGGUCGGAUGCCGUGCUGGGACAUCAAAGUGUGAGCCUGGAUGACGGUUGGAACACAGGGACAGAGGGGGUGCAUUUUACUUGUUUACUGGGGUAUGGUGCUCUGGCUUUUUAAAUUUCUCUAUAGUUAGGAGGUACUGUAUAAUAUAAAAAUAUUCACCACUAAGGAUUUUUGUAAAGACAGUGUGCUGUAGGCAAUGUAUAUCAAUAAAACUUGUGCUCUUUAAAACAAUUAGCUACUAUAAUUUUAAUGUUUUGUAGAAGUGAAACUACUCUUUGCUGUCUAGUCUGCACAAUUUAUAACUUAUUGUCAAACGUAAGAAUGAAGUGAAGUAACGCCUGCCCUGAUUAGUUGGAUAGAUCAGUAGCUGUAAGUUAAAUUAGGCCUAAACCACAUGCCAGAGUGACAUAUCCCUAUUAGAUACAACAUUAUGAAGUACCCCUUCUUCCUGAGGUCCAAGGUUGGGACCGUGCGGAGAUCUAGUGGGCUGUUGGAGGCCGCGUGUGGAAGCUACUAAGGGGCAUCAAUGACUACUGAGAAACCAGUGGAGGAGUUAGAAAGCCGCGUCGGGGAGUUUUGGUGACCAGACAAAGAGGCCAUAUAACUGCGGAGUAAGUCGAAGCCACUAAGGAGCUGAAGUGGUUGUCUGAAAUCAUGCUGGGAGCAACAGUUGCAGCGAAAGAGACCACUGAAGAACUGUGGUAGCUGUCAGCAGCCUGCAGUGGUGGCCAGAUGAUGUGCUGAAGUUCGGGUGUUGCUGCUCUUCAAGUUAAAGGGAGUUUGUUGUAUGCAUGGAUAUUGGUAUGUCGUCAAGUUUGUCAUCCAGCACUUGGUUUGCAAAGGAGUGUUGAGACUGAAUCAUCACUUCAGGUUGAAAUAGGAUCCUCAGGAUGUGCAGUUUUGCUGCAGGGACUUAGAUUAUGCUGGUGUGUUCACAAAUUUAGAGGAAAUACUGUACUGUGGGAUUUUUCACCCAAUUUUGUCAGUGGAAUUGUCAGCUUGCUACAUACAGAUCAAGUUGUCAAACAAGACUUGUACUAUGAACAUCAGCAAAACGAUGCCAUUGAAAGAUACAUUUGAAUGUGUGGCGAGACAUUUUGGCUGUGGACGGCAGGUCAGCAUUUGUUCGUAGGAGUUAUAAAAAAGUAUUUGUAGACUUGCCAUUCUGUUCUGGGAAAAAAUUAAUGCAUGUUAUACAAGUAUUGGAAUUGGGAACAGGAAGAUUUUUUGUGAAAAAUAUCAAGAAAGAACAAGAUGCUCCUGGACAGGUCAGGCUCUAGAACUUCUUAUGCAUGUGAUGAAUUACUGUACUAUCUAUCAUUCUGGUGUCCGGGAGCAGUAGUUUUGUAUCUUUGUACUUGAGUACUGUAGUUCCUUCAGUCUUUGACCUUGACUACUGCACAACUCAUGACCAUACACAGAACAUUGACAGAAAAAAAACACAAAGUAGAUAAAUUUGAGAAAAAAGAAGAAUGUAAAAAAAAAAUAGCCAUACUGUAUAUCAAAAUGUAAAACUGAAAACCACUGCCUUGGAUACAAUCUUUUGAAUGCAAUAGAUACCAUUUUACAUGGUAUUUAUAAGUUAGAAAAUACCACUUCUUAUGGAUUUGCCGCUAAUUGCAGUGCUCAUUGCUAAUAUUUUCUGGGUAAAAAACUUGAAUUGGACCAACCAUUGUGCAGAUACAUAUUUUGGAUCUUAAGAGGACUAAAAUUUUAUAUGGAUACACUGUACCAUGCUGCAGAUGAAUAUCUUCGGUCUUACGAGGGAAAAGAUCUUCCUGUUGAGGAUAAGUAUCUUGAUUGUUAGUGAAACAAAGGAUAUACUAUAUUGCUUCUUGCAAUGUCAUUUAAAAGUGAUUUUACAUGCUAAUUACAGACAUCUUCAUUGUUUAAAGAAAGAAUGGAUUGAUAUGCUACUUUUAAGAUUUUGAUAGUGAAGAAGGAAUGGAUACACCUACAAACUGCUUCCAGAUCAGUGAUGGAUAUAUUAACUGCUUAAAAUCUCGUGAUCAGUGAAAGUGAGUACAGUACUGUUCACUUGCAGUGUAUGAAAUGCUUAAUUUUUUAAGACUAACAUGUUCCAAGUAGAGAAAGUACCAAAUCUAACUUAAUUGAAAAUUUAGAUUUGUGAAGACUGUAAGUAACAGUGGAAAUGAAUGAGAAUAAUUUAUAGAUUUACAUGAUAGAAGAUCCCAUAUGAAAUGGCAGUCUUGCCUUGGUACAGUAUCGUGUUUAACCCACCCAGUGCAAAUGACCAGCAAACAAAAACCUUUAAAACCAAUCUGUGUAACUGACCAACAAAACUUUUGCAUACUAUAAAUGGUUAAUUCAAGAAGACUUAAGUUAAAAGAGAAGUAAAGUUAAAUGUGCAAGGAUUAUCUCCAUGGAAUUUCAAAUUGCAGUACCUGUACUGUAUAGAGGAAAGUUAUUUUAUAUUGAAACCUGUAGACCCUAAGGUUAACGAAGAUUAAGUGAAAGGAUAAACACAGUUCUAGGAAAUAUUAAAGAACAUUCUAACUGACUACAGGAACAAUGACUGACAAUAUUCUAAAGUGAACUUGUGGACCAGUAAGUAAAAAGUCACACUUGGUGAGUAAAUUGGCUUUAUUACUAAUGAAUUGCAUACUCUUGAAUAUCUAUACAUAGUUGGUAUUCUUGUAAGUAAAUUAAUAUUUGAAAGAAGAAUAUCUUUAUUACUGAAGUCUGACAAUGACGAAAAGUCAGGAAAAUAAGCAUGGAAACUAGACUGAUUCAUGGUAAAUGAUAAAACAACAGUACCAAUAUAUUGAAUGUUUAAGGCUCCAUACUGAAGUAAAUGAGCAGGUCCUAAGUAGUUGAAUACUACAGCAUUGUGGAAGUAAACAUAAUGAAUAUGAUGCUAAAGUUACAGUUUUUCUGAAGUAACCACCGUUUGAGAAGUAACCAUACUUAAAUAUGAUGUGAAAGUUACACCGUUUGACAAGUAACUAUGGCAGUUUCAACGGAAUUGUCUUAAGUGAAUAUUCAAGCCAAUUAAAAUUAGCUCCCUUGAAUAUGGAACAAAACCUACACCAGUCGAGAAGGAAGAUGAAAGGUACACCAUGGAAAGAAUAUAUCUGCAUAAGCACCAAAAUAAAUGGCGAAUUGAGAAAUUUUUGAAGGUCGUCUUGCGGGACAGAUCAACAACUUGAAGAAUAAUACAUUAUAACUAAAGGCAAGGUUAUUUUUGUUAUUGUAAAUAGAACUUAUGUAUUGCUAGCCAAUUAAGGAUAAUUUGUAAAGUAUGGUAAGAUGUUUGAGAAUAACAUGAAUUUGUCAUCAAAUAUUAGAGAAUAGGUAUUGUACAUGAAUUUGUCAUCAAAUAUUAGAGAAUAGUCAUUGUAAAUUUAUUCACUGCAUGAAGUGGAUGGGUAUGGUAAACGCCACAGGUGCAGGAAGAUGAUGGGCAUGGUCGCCUACACAGGUGCAGGAAGAGGAUGGGCAUGGCUGACGACACCAGUGCAGGAAGAGGAUGGGCAUGGUCGCCUACACUGGUGCAGGAAGAGGAUGGGCAUGGUCGUCUACACAGGUGCAGGAAGAGGCUGGGCAUGGUCGACGACACAGGUGCAGGAAGAGGAUGGGCAUGGUCGUCUACACAGGUGCAGGAAGAGGAUGUGGGCAUGGUCGUCUACACUGGUGCAGGAAGAGGUUGGGCAUGGUCAUCUACACAGGUGCAGGAAAGAGGAUGGGCAUGGUCGGUGGCCUACACAGGUGCAGGAAGAGGAUGGGCAUGGCUGACACCAGUGCAGGAAGAGGAUGGGCAUGGUCGUCUACACAGGUGCAGGAAGGGGCUGGGCAUGGUCGACGACACAGGUGCAGGAAGAGGAUGGGCAUGGUUGUCUACACAGGUGCAGGAAGAGGAUGGGCAUGGUCGUCUACACAGGUGCAGGAAGAGGCUGGGCAUGGUCGACGACACAGGUGCAGGAAGAGGAUGGGCAUGGUCGUCUACACAGGUGCAGGAAGAGGAUGGGCAUGGUCGUCUACACAGGUGAAGGAAGAGGAUGGGCAUGGUGGUCUUCACAGGUGCUGACGAGGGAAGGAUGUACAAGAGGAUGGGCAUGGUCGCCGUUGGGACGUUGUUGAUGAGGUGCAAGAGGACGGGCAGGUCGUCGUCGUCGAUGGAAGCACAAGAGGGUGGGCACGGUCGUGAUGGAGGUACAAGAGGACGGUCAUUGUCGUUGAUGGGGGAAAGGAGAAUGGUCAACUUCAAGAAUUCAAGACCCCAGAGGAAGUAUAAGGCUGGAUGCAGAUGUCUUUGGUGAGAGGACAUAUGUGGUUGUCUUAGAUAGUGGAUGUAAAGUCAUCAGGCAGGAACUACUAGGAUGGGCCUCCACUUUAAUAGGUGUAAAAAAAGGUGAGGGUAGUGUGGUUGGUUGAUUUAGGCACUUUCAUUUAACAUCAGGAUUUCAAGAGAUUGGCCUUGGUUUGAAGAGGAAAAUUGGUUCAGGUUUAUCAAGAAGAUAUUGAAGACCCUGUACAAAGCUGUAAGGAGAUGAAGAAGGAUCCCAUUAUGAUAGCCAGGUGGAUUACAGUAUAAUUUCACAGGGAAGUGAAAAAGAUAGAUUUUAUCACUGGCCACUGAUUAUUAAGGUGGAGAGAGUAGAUUUUGCUAGGGAGAAGAAUAUGUGCUAGGCAUUAAUUAUCAGGAGGCAAGGGAGAGUAAUAGCAAUAACACUCAGGAGGUAAGCAAGAGUGGAGGAAUUUGUCCACAGGAUUGGGGAAAGGAGGAAAAGGGUUAAAUGUUCAUCUCGGUAAGGAAUGAAUUGAAGAUAAAUAUGCACUCUUCAAGAGCAGGGGCUUCAUCGCCCUGUCAUCACAAAACAGAAGAGGAUGGUUAUUCACAGUAGCCUUCAGUCAUCACAAAUCUCAAGUUAUAAAUGAAGAGGAUGGACUUGAGCAUAUUCAGCCUUGAAGUACAACAGUAAAGGAAGGCCUUAGUCAUUGAGAGAUAUAAGAAGAUGGACUUUGACAGAAGUAUGUCUUCAGUGCCAGGAGGAUAGAGAGGUGUUGGUUAUCCCCACGUUAUGAGAAGAGGAUUGUCAAGUACUGCACUGCUUGCAAAUAAUGAGAUUCACCCACCAACUUGACGGUCGUGGACGGUCCUUCAGGAGUGUCCUAGACAAUCAAAUCUCUCUUAUUCCAGAGAGACAACUGGUGCUACAGUACAAGACCACUCAAGGUAAGGUGUUUGUAUCAUUUCAGUUUUAUGUGGUAAGUAUAAAAUUGUAUUUUCUGAGGAUCUACUUUUUUUUUUACUCCUUGGUAAUCAUAAUGUUUGUUUUGUGUGAAUGUGUUUCAUAAUUUCACUACAGAGUUAUCUUAAUGAUUCAGGCAUUGGUAAGUGUCGCUCAGAGUUCACUAAGCAAAAUUCUUCCAUUCAUAUUCACCAAUACUAGAUAUCCCUAUCAAUUAUAGUACGUACAUGUAUUCAGUUUUUAGAUGUCAACCCUAUCAAUUAUUCAGUUUUUAGAUGUCAUGAAUAGAUUCUAAAAGGCAAUAUUCUUUCACCCAAAUUCACCAAUUCCAGGUUCCCCCUUUUUGGCUUGAUUGUUGAGACUGGGUGGAGCGAGCCUGGGACAGUUGUGACAUGGCCGAGCAAGGCAGGGACUGAGACAGGAAAGCCAUGGGGCAGGGCCAGAUGAAGAAACAGUCAUUCGUAGGCAAUACAGAGCAGACAACUCUGGGGGCCGUGUGUGGAUUGGACCCACUGUAGAUGCGCACUUUGUGGAGGAGAGAAGAUAAACAGUGGGAAAAGAAGCUACUACCCUAACCAGAUCAGAUGGACGUUACAAAGCCUCAAUCUUUUCGAACUAGGGCACUAGGACGAAUUUUAGGUUACGUAAAUAUUCUAUCUAUUUAGAGCGUAUUCAUGAGAAGUAAUUUUCCAUAAAGUAUUUUUAUGUUCUGGUAUACUGAGUAGUGAAAUUGCGAAGUUCAUAUAUUGAAAUGAUUUUUCAUGAUCUCAAACUGAAGUGGUUAUUACUGAAGAUAGUUCGUCAAAAAUUAAUCGCGUCCCGUUGACGUCCACAUCAACUCCACCUUGUCCCUCGGCUCAGCUGCAACAGGAAGUCGUCAGAGGAAUCUGAUGACCGCCUUCUUAAAAUCCACGCUCUGGUAAUAUCCAGGUCAGGUUACAGUAUUCGAAGCUGUAGUGAUUCUUCAGGUCUUCUCUUAGGACAGGAUGUUUGGUACACCACAACUUUGAAAAUGUUCCACGGCAUCACCUCGGCCAGUUGCACUUUCAGAGGAUCGUCUUCAUAUGUCUUGCAUCUGAGUUUGUUCUACCCAUUCUCCCAUGAAAAGGUCGUGGCUCAUCACAUCUAUCACUUCUGCACAUCAGUAAUCACUACUAUAUCAACACAGUUACUGUGUAUUUCAUCAUCAACCUUUGCUACAGUGGCUUCACAACUUUAACAAAGCUGCUGUGUGUAUAUCACAUCUACAACUUCAUUAUAACGGCUGUGUGUGUAUGUGCUAUCUGCUGUGUACGUCAUCACAUCCGCUGUGUACGUCAUCACAUCCCCAUCUAUAUAGCUGCUGUGUUUCUUCACUACUACAACUACAUUGUUGCUGGUUGCAUGUCAACACAAAAUGUCACCACUGAUGAAUGUCUUCACUUCUAGCUCUGACAUUACUGAUGAAUUUUAUGAAUGUUUGAUUAAGGUUAAUUUGUUUUACCAGUCGGUGCUGUUUCAGAUGGCUGAAACAAUUUAUGAAUAAAAUUAUAUCAUAA